UAUGUACUCCCUCUGUUCCAAAAUUCUUGUCUUAAAUUUAUCUAUAUACGGAUGUAUUUACACAUUCGUAUAUAGACAAAUCUAAGACAAGAAUUUAGGGAUGGAGGGAGUAUUAU
This is a non-coding RNA of Triticum aestivum (bread wheat), 116 nucleotides long. The record is from Rfam. Lineage: Eukaryota; Viridiplantae; Streptophyta; Magnoliopsida; Poales; Poaceae.